Long non-coding RNA from Musa acuminata subsp. malaccensis (wild Malaysian banana), 810 nucleotides. RefSeq lists it as uncharacterized. The record is from RefSeq and is a predicted model, not a curated record. NCBI's taxonomy places the organism in Eukaryota, Viridiplantae, Streptophyta, Magnoliopsida, Zingiberales, Musaceae.
UAAAGGAAGAAGAUAAGGGUUUUCAUGAGAGAGAGAAAGGAAGGCAAGAGAGAUCCAGCAUGUCCGAAGGAUCUCCUGCGACAGGAUCCUUUGGCUUUGGCAAUCAUCCCUGCUCUUUGUUGCUCUACAUCGUGGGAGCCUGUGCUCGCUGCCUGGGCUGCUCAGUUUCCUCCGGUGGUGGUGCUCAGGAUCCUUCCACGGGAGAUCAAGCUAAUGACAUGGACCCCACUGCAGAUGGAUCUGGGGUCGAGACCAAGGCAGCGAGGAGGCCCAGGAGGCCACCACCGAGCGAAGGGCGAGGAGGUCAGAUCAACUGAGCGAGCACAUGGUACCCUCCUUUGGCAUCAGUGCAUGAAGGAAUAGUUCAGAGUUGGUCGCAGUAAAUUACUAUGCAGCUAUCAACGUUCUCUCAGUCCAAACACUUAAUACUUCUGUAGAUCUCUCUCCAAGUUCUUGUUAUGUGCCUAUUUGUCUGUGAGUUGUUACUGUCCGAGUUCUUCUUUUCAUUACUUCUAAACCACCAUGUCAUCAAGCCGAGCUCGAGAUAUACAAGAAGGAAUGUUCAGUUCUCCUUUCCUUAGGUAGUUUCUGCGUACUUGUUUCAUGUUCCAUUCGAUCUGUAGAAAGGGUCACACCAAAGCUUUCUCUGCGCCUACAUGAACUCCUUUAUCUCGUGCUUUUCACCUGUGUUUGACAUGCAAAGAUCCAUUAGGUUCUACAGGGCUCUCUCGAUGAUCCAACUCUUCUCCUUGUACUGUAAAGAGAGAGGUAUAUAUAAGACACACCUCACACCUGCUUCAUUCAAGGCAA